RNAcentral lists this unclassified non-coding RNA (368 nucleotides) under Human type D retrovirus. Lineage: Riboviria; Pararnavirae; Artverviricota; Revtraviricetes; Ortervirales; Retroviridae. The record is from RNAcentral.
CGUUGCUACUCACCUGCGCGGUAUUGGCCAGGCCACCAACCCCCAACAAAGUGCUCAAAUGCUUAAGUGGGAGGACUCUGAAGGCAAUAAUGGUCACAUUACCCCUUAUGUCCUCCCCAAUCUGCCAGUCAAUCUCUGGGGAAGGGACAUCCUCUCUCAAAUGAAACUUGUCAUGUGCAGUCCCAACGAUACUGUCAUGACCCAAAUGCUAAGCCAGGGGUAUCUCCCCGGCCAAGGGUUGGGAAAAAAUAAUCAAGGAACUACCCAGCCCAUUACUAUUACCCCCAAAAAAGACAAAACAGGCCUAGGAUUCCACCAAAAUUUACCGUAGCGGCCAUUGACAUUCCUGUACCCCAACGCUGACAAAA